RNAcentral lists this ribosomal RNA (1512 nucleotides) under Lactiplantibacillus plantarum. RNAcentral's name for it is "Lactobacillus plantarum partial 16S ribosomal RNA". It matches the Rfam family "Bacterial small subunit ribosomal RNA". The record is from RNAcentral. Lineage: Bacteria; Bacillati; Bacillota; Bacilli; Lactobacillales; Lactobacillaceae.
CUGGCUCAGGACGAACGCUGGCGGCGUGCCUAAUACAUGCAAGUCGAACGAACUCUGGUAUUGAUUGGUGCUUGCAUCAUGAUUUACAUUUGAGUGAGUGGCGAACUGGUGAGUAACACGUGGGAAACCUGCCCAGAAGCGGGGGAUAACACCUGGAAACAGAUGCUAAUACCGCAUAACAACUUGGACCGCAUGGUCCGAGUUUGAAAGAUGGCUUCGGCUAUCACUUUUGGAUGGUCCCGCGGCGUAUUAGCUAGAUGGUGGGGUAACGGCUCACCAUGGCAAUGAUACGUAGCCGACCUGAGAGGGUAAUCGGCCACAUUGGGACUGAGACACGGCCCAAACUCCUACGGGAGGCAGCAGUAGGGAAUCUUCCACAAUGGACGAAAGUCUGAUGGAGCAACGCCGCGUGAGUGAAGAAGGGUUUCGGCUCGUAAAACUCUGUUGUUAAAGAAGAACAUAUCUGAGAGUAACUGUUCAGGUAUUGACGGUAUUUAACCAGAAAGCCACGGCUAACUACGUGCCAGCAGCCGCGGUAAUACGUAGGUGGCAAGCGUUGUCCGGAUUUAUUGGGCGUAAAGCGAGCGCAGGCGGUUUUUUAAGUCUGAUGUGAAAGCCUUCGGCUCAACCGAAGAAGUGCAUCGGAAACUGGGAAACUUGAGUGCAGAAGAGGACAGUGGAACUCCAUGUGUAGCGGUGAAAUGCGUAGAUAUAUGGAAGAACACCAGUGGCGAAGGCGGCUGUCUGGUCUGUAACUGACGCUGAGGCUCGAAAGUAUGGGUAGCAAACAGGAUUAGAUACCCUGGUAGUCCAUACCGUAAACGAUGAAUGCUAAGUGUUGGAGGGUUUCCGCCCUUCAGUGCUGCAGCUAACGCAUUAAGCAUUCCGCCUGGGGAGUACGGCCGCAAGGCUGAAACUCAAAGGAAUUGACGGGGGCCCGCACAAGCGGUGGAGCAUGUGGUUUAAUUCGAAGCUACGCGAAGAACCUUACCAGGUCUUGACAUACUAUGCAAAUCUAAGAGAUUAGACGUUCCCUUCGGGGACAUGGAUACAGGUGGUGCAUGGUUGUCGUCAGCUCGUGUCGUGAGAUGUUGGGUUAAGUCCCGCAACGAGCGCAACCCUUAUUAUCAGUUGCCAGCAUUAAGUUGGGCACUCUGGUGAGACUGCCGGUGACAAACCGGAGGAAGGUGGGGAUGACGUCAAAUCAUCAUGCCCCUUAUGACCUGGGCUACACACGUGCUACAAUGGAUGGUACAACGAGUUGCGAACUCGCGAGAGUAAGCUAAUCUCUUAAAGCCAUUCUCAGUUCGGAUUGUAGGCUGCAACUCGCCUACAUGAAGUCGGAAUCGCUAGUAAUCGCGGAUCAGCAUGCCGCGGUGAAUACGUUCCCGGGCCUUGUACACACCGCCCGUCACACCAUGAGAGUUUGUAACACCCAAAGUCGGUGGGGUAACCUUUUAGGAACCAGCCGCCUAAGGUGGGACAGAUGAUUAGGGUGAAGUCGUAACAAGG